This 478-nucleotide ribosomal RNA is filed under the name uncultured bacterium. RNAcentral's name for it is "bacterial SSU rRNA". It matches the Rfam family "Bacterial small subunit ribosomal RNA", at positions 30 to 506 of the family's 1533-position model. The record is from RNAcentral.
UUGAACGCUGGCGGCAUGCCUUACACAUGCAAGUCGAACGGUAGAGGAGCAAUCCUCGAGAGUGGCGAACGGGUGAGUAAUGUAUCGGAACGUGCCCAGUAGUGGGGGAUAGCCCGGCGAAAGCCGGAUUAAUACCGCAUGAGACCUGAGGGUGAAAGCGGGGGACUCGCAAGAGCCUCGCGCUACUGGAGCGGCCGAUAUCAGAUUAGGUAGUUGGUGGGGUAAAGGCCUACCAAGCCUGCGAUCUGUAGCUGGUCUGAGAGGACGACCAGCCACACUGGGACUGAGACACGGCCCAGACUCCUACGGGAGGCAGCAGUGGGGAAUUUUGGACAAUGGGCGAAAGCCUGAUCCAGCCAUGCCGCGUGUGGGAAGAAGGCCUUCGGGUUGUAAACCGCUUUUGUCAGGGAAGAAACGGCUCGCUCUAAUACAGUGGGCUAAUGACGGUACCUGAAGAAUAAGCACCGGCUAACUACGU